GACGAACGCUGGCGGCGUGCUUAACACAUGCAAGUCGAACGGAAAGGCCCUGCUUUUGUGGGGUGCUCGAGUGGCGACCGGGUGAGUAACACGUGAGUAACCUGCCCUUGACUUUGGGAUAACUUCAGGAAACUGGGGCUAAUACCGGAUAGGAGCUCCUGCUGCAUGGUGGGGGUUGGAAAGUUUCGGCGGUUGGGGAUGGACUCGCGGGUUAUCAGCUUGUUGGUGGGGUAGUGGCUUACCAAGGCUUUGACGGGUAGCCGGCCUGAGCGGGUGACCGGCCACAUGGGGACUGAGAUACGGCCCAGACUCGUACGGGAGGCAGCAGUGGGGAAUAUUGCACAAUGGGCGGAAGCCUGAUGCAGCAACGCCGCGUGCGGGAUGACGGCCUGCGGGUUGUAAACCGCAUUCGCCUGUGACGAAGCGUGAGUGACGGUAAUGGGUGAAGAAGCACCGGCUAACUACGUG
Molecule: ribosomal RNA, 468 nt
Filed under: uncultured bacterium
Lineage: Bacteria
Description: partial 16S ribosomal RNA
Rfam family: Bacterial small subunit ribosomal RNA
Source: RNAcentral